RNAcentral lists this ribosomal RNA (253 nucleotides) under uncultured bacterium. RNAcentral describes it as "partial 16S ribosomal RNA". It matches the Rfam family "Bacterial small subunit ribosomal RNA", at positions 524 to 776 of the family's 1533-position model. The record is from RNAcentral.
UACAGAGGGUGCGAGCGUUAAUCGGAUUUAUUGGGCGUAAAGGGUGCGUAGGUGGUAAAGCAAGUAGAAUGUGAAAACCCUGGGCUUAACCUGGGAAGUGCAUCCUAAACUGCUUAACUAGAGUAUGGUAGAGGGUGGUGGAAUUUCCUGUGUAGCGGUGAAAUGCGUAGAUAUAGGAAGGAACACCAGUGGCGAAGGCGACCACCUGGACUGAUACUGACACUGAGGUGCGAAAGCGUGGGGAGCAAACAGG